RNAcentral lists this ribosomal RNA (484 nucleotides) under uncultured bacterium. RNAcentral describes it as "partial 16S ribosomal RNA". It matches the Rfam family "Bacterial small subunit ribosomal RNA", at positions 28 to 507 of the family's 1533-position model. The record is from RNAcentral.
GAUGAACGCUGGCGGCGGGCCUAACACAUGCAAGUCGAGCGGAUAGACGGCGCUCGUUCCUCUCUUCUGCCGACGACGGGCGUGUAACGCCUAGGAAUCUGCCUUGCCUUGGGGGAUAACGUCCGGAACUGGGGCCUAAUACGGCAUGGGACCUGAGGUGGAAGGUGGGGGUUCUUCAGCCUCCACGGUAUCGGAUGAACCUAGGUCGGAUUAGCUAGUUGGUGGGGUAAAGGCCUACCAAGGCGACGAUCCGUAGCUGGUCUGGGAGGCUGACCAGACACACUGGAACUGAGACACGGUCCAGGCUCCUACGGGAGGCAGCAGUGGGGAAUAUUGGGCAAUGGGCGAAAGCCUGAUCCAGCCAUGCAGCGUGUGUGAAGAAGGUCUUCGGAUUGUAAAACGCUUUUAGUUGGGAGGAACGGCAGUAGAAGAAUACAUGCCUGUUUUGACGGUACCUACAGAAAAAGCACCGGCUAACUACGUG